This 529-nucleotide ribosomal RNA is filed under the name uncultured bacterium. RNAcentral describes it as "bacterial SSU rRNA". It matches the Rfam family "Bacterial small subunit ribosomal RNA", at positions 777 to 1304 of the family's 1533-position model. The record is from RNAcentral.
AAUAGAUACCCGGUAGUCCACGCCGUAAACGAUGAGUGCUAAGUGUUAGGGGGUUUCCGCCCCUUAGUGCUGCAGCUAACGCAUUAAGCACUCCGCCUGGGGAGUACGGUCGCAAGACUGAAACUCAAAGGAAUUGACGGGGGCCCGCACAAGCGGUGGAGCAUGUGGUUUAAUUCGAAGCAACGCGAAGAACCUUACCAGGUCUUGACAUCCCGCUGACCGCUAUGGAGACAUAGCCUUCCCUUCGGGGGACAGCGGUGACAGGUGGUGCAUGGUUGUCGUCAGCUCGUGUCGUGAGAUGUUGGGUUAAGUCCCGCAACGAGCGCAACCCUUGAGAUUAGUUGCCAUCAUUCAGUUGGGCACUCUAAUCUGACUGCCGGUGAUAAACCGGAGGAAGGUGGGGAUGACGUCAAAUCAUCAUGCCCCUUAUGACCUGGGCUACACACGUGCUACAAUGGACGGUACAAACGGUUGCCAACCCGCGAGGGGGAGCCAAUCCGAUAAAACCGUUCUCAGUUCGGAUUGUAGG